GACGAACCGUGCAAACGUUAUUCGGAAUCACCGGGCUUAAAGGGCGCGUAGGCGGGCAACCAAGUCCGAGGUGAAAUCCUCCAGCUUAACUGGAGAAGUGCCCCGGAUACUGGCUGCCUCGAGGAGGGUAGGGGCAUCUGGAACUAGCGGUGGAGCGGUGAAAUGCGUUGAUAUCGCUAGGAACUCCGGUGGCGAAGGCGAGGUGCUGGACCCUUUCUGACGCUGAGGCGCGAAAGCCAGGGGAGCGAACGGG
RNAcentral lists this ribosomal RNA (253 nucleotides) under uncultured bacterium. RNAcentral describes it as "partial 16S ribosomal RNA". It matches the Rfam family "Bacterial small subunit ribosomal RNA", at positions 524 to 776 of the family's 1533-position model. The record is from RNAcentral.